AUUGAACGCUGGCGGAAUGCUUUACACAUGCAAGUCGAACGGCAGCACGGGGGCAGCCCUGGUGGCGAGUGGCGAACGGGUGAGUAAUACAUCGGAACGUGCCCGGUCGUGGGGGAUAACGUAGCGAAAGUUACGCUAAUACCGCAUACGAUCUGAGGAUGAAAGCGGGGGACCUUCGGGCCUCGCGCGAUCGGAGCGGCCGAUGUCAGAUUAGGUAGUUGGUGGGGUAAGGGCCUACCAAGCCGACGAUCUGUAGCUGGUCUGAGAGGACGACCAGCCACACUGGGACUGAGACACGGCCCAGACUCCUACGGGAGGCAGCAGUGGGGAAUUUUGGACAAUGGGCGCAAGCCUGAUCCAGCCAUUCCGCGUGCAGGACGAAGGCCUUCGGGUUGUAAACUGCUUUUGUACGGAACGAAAAGGCUCUGGCUAAUACCUGGGGCUCAUGACGGUACCGUAAGAAUAAGCACCGGCUAACUACGUG
RNAcentral lists this ribosomal RNA (484 nucleotides) under uncultured bacterium. Its description in RNAcentral is "partial 16S ribosomal RNA". It matches the Rfam family "Bacterial small subunit ribosomal RNA", at positions 30 to 507 of the family's 1533-position model. The record is from RNAcentral.